Non-coding RNA from Podarcis lilfordi (Lilford's wall lizard), 16576 nucleotides. The record is from the annotation of a GenBank genome assembly. NCBI's taxonomy places the organism in Eukaryota, Metazoa, Chordata, Lepidosauria, Squamata, Lacertidae.
AUUCUGGUUAUCCUUGCAAGGCAGAAGAGUUGCCUGUUGCUGGUGAACCGUGCUACGAAUGCCUAACUACGUCCCUUUAUCACUGCGGCAUCUAAAAAUUCCCAGUGAGUUGCAGAUUUAAUCUUGCUGUAUUCCCGCAAAGCGGGGAAGUAUUGCACAGGUCAGAAACACUGGUAUUCCAAAAUGCGUGUAACAGGCACGCGGCCCGUGUGAGAAUUCAGAAUUUAUUUAGAAUCUCAUAUUUAAAACAAUUGCCACUCUCCAGUUCUGUUUUUCGUAAUGGAAUAUAACUUAUGUGGCUUUAAAAGAAUGAACACGGCUGUCUGACUUGGCUUGCAUUGCUUAUCCUGACCCAAACACAGAAUGCAGUGGUGCCCCGCAAGACGAAUGCCUCGCAAGACGGAAAACCCACUAGACGAAAGGGUUUUCCGUUUUGGAGGUGCUUCGCAAAACGAAUUUCCUAUGGGCUUGCUUCGCAAGACGAAAAUGUCUUGCGAGUUCCUGCGGGGUUUUUUUCCUUUUAGCCCCCUUUUCCCAAGCCGCUAAACCGCUUAUCAGCUGAUGGCUAAGCCGCUUAACAGCUGAUCGCUAAGCCGCUUAUCAGCUGAUCGUUAAGCCGCUUAUCAGCUGAUCUUUAAGCCGCUUAACAGCUGAUCGCUAAGCCGCUUAUCAGCUGAUCCGCUAAGCCGCUAAGCCGCUAAUACUGUAGCGCUAAUCUGCUAAACCGCUAAUGGGCUUGCUUCGCAAGACGAAAAAGCCCGCAAGACGAAGAGACUUGCAGAACGGAUUCUUUUCGUCUUGCGAGGCACCACUGUACUGAGCUUUUUAACUAGGCGGUGAGAGGGAGCCUCAGGAAUGGUGAGAGGGAGCCUCAGUUCUGGUUCAGGUGGGCCAAGGGUUAAAGGGGCAGAUGAUGUGGUUAAGGACAGGCUCAGUGCAAGAGUCCAGAUCAAGCAAACAUGAAACCCAAACCAGGAGAUGUGGUCAUCAUGGCCAUUCAUGGUCAAGGAGACCAGGUCAGGUCUCCAUGUUGCCAUCAGGUGCUCAGACUAAGGCACCAGGUUUGCAGCAAGAGUUACAUAGGGCUCUUCCAGAUACAGGGGUACCUCGGGUUACAUACGCUUCAGGUUACAUACGCUUCAGGUUACAGACUCCGCUAACCCAGAAAUAGUGCUUCAGGUUAAAAACUUUGCUUCAGGAUAAGAACAGAAAUCGUGCUCCGGCGGCGUGACAGCAGCAGGAGGCCCCAUUAGCUAAAGUGGUGCUUCAGGUUAAGAACAGUUUCAGGUUAAGUACGGACCUCCGGAACGAAUUAAGUACUUAACCCAAGGUACCACUGUACAGAAUUUGUAACAUUGGAGUUUGCAGGGUUCCUCGUCCCCUGCCUGCUGGAUUUUUCUGCAUGCUUCCACAUGAUGUCAUUAUCAUUCCACUGUGAUUCUGGAGUAUUCUAGUCGUCAAACUGCUUUUUCUUCUGUCACAAAAAAACCCCACAACAUUUGCGAAAGAUCCAGAACAGUUGUGCCGUAUUUCCAUUGCAUGGGGGCUGUUUUCCAUAAUUUCCUGCAUUUGUGUAGAGUUCGGGGUGUUUGGUGUGAAUGACUUCUGUUUCAUGCCUUUCCCCUUGAUUGGCACCUUUUUAAAAACAACAACAACAGCCAGGUUUGUUGUUUGUUUGUUUUUGUCCAUAGCUCAGACCAAAACAGGGAAAUCAAUAUGUUUCAAACAUCUAAUCUCCCUCAUGAACAGAAUGCCAGCUGUUAACUACUACAACAACCAAUGACGCAAAGCUAUUACCCAGAGUCCUGAAACAGGGCAAGAAAGGAAUCUUCUAGGGCUGGUUGACAUGAAAGGUGAUCCAACCAAAAGAGCAUCUUAAAUCCACACAGCCUCCAUUGAAACAAACAGCACCAGGGGGGUAGGAACAGUUCUGCAGUAGGAACCUUCCAUACCAGGAUUCCUGUUUGAGAGGGGCCAGAGCUGGUGAACACCUGCCUUUACUUCCCAAAGGUCUGAGGUUCAAUUUCCAUUAUCACCAGUUGGAAGGACCAGGGAGCAGGUUAGACUAGGGUUACCAGAUGUCCCCGGUUCCGGGGACAGUCCCUAGAUUUGCAAAUCUGUCCCCGGGAAACGUGGCAGUGGCAGCCUCAGCAGCCUGCAGCCAGCCUGGUAGCGGAGUUGGCUCUGGCUGGCUUCAGGAGCUGCUCGCUGCUGUGGCACCCGCCAUUUUCCCUCGCUGUAAGUCCCCAUAUGAUGUGUUGCACACAAGACACAUUACAGUGGUACCUCGGGUUAAGUACUUAAUUCGUUCCGGAGGUCCAUUCUUAACCUGAAACUGUUCUUGGCUAAUGGGGCCUCCUGCUGCCGCCGCGCGAUUUCUGUUCUCAUCCUGAAGCAAAGUUCUUAACCCGAGGUACUAUUUCUGGGUUAGUGGAGUCUGUAAACUGAAGCAUAUGUAACCUGAAGCAUAUGUAACCCGAGGUACCACUGUAUAUGGGGACUUCCGGUGAGGAAAAAUGGGUGCCACGGCGGCAGGCAGCAAGCAGCUCCUGAAGCCAGCCAGAAUUGUCCGGGCUGCUGACUGACGCUGACGCCGCCACAGCCGAAGGGGAACCAGGGACGUCCAGCGGUACAGAUCUCCUCCCCCCUCCCCCCUUUGUUUUAACUGAUUGGGGGAGGCUCAGGAGUUGAGGCCAGCUGGCCAUUGCCCAAUUUUUAAAAGACUCUGUGCAUUUAUGUUUCACAGGGUGCGAAAGAAGGGCUUUGCACUUUGCCUGGCAGAGAAACUGCAGGCUUUGCACCCCUCCUGGGCAACGGCCGCCUGCCCACGACUCCCGAGCCUCCCCUGAUCUCCUGCCCCCUUCUGUCAAAACAAAGGGGGAAGGGGGCAGGAGAUCGGGGAAGGCUCGGGAGUCACAGAUGGGCAGUGCGCUGUUGCCCAGUUUUUAAAAACUCUGCGCAUUUAUGUUUCACAGGGUGCAAAAGAGGGGCUUUGCACCUUUAUACGAUAUGCAUGUGUGCUUGGGACCAGGGUCUUUUGCCUCAACAUCCCCACUGCUGACUCCCUGUUGCUACUCAGCUUCAAAAAAAAAAAGUGUCCCCGGAUUCAUUGAAAAAAAUCUGGUAACCAUAGGUUAGACAAUACUGGGCUAGAUAAACAAAUGAUGUAAUCCAGUAUAAGGCAGCUGUCCGUGGCUAAUAAUAAUAAUAAUAAUUUUAUUAUUUAUAUUCCCCCCCCUCCCCCAAAAAAAAAUCUGGCUGGGUUUCCCCAGCCACUCUGGGCAGCUUACGGCAAAUAUAAAAGCAUAAUAAAAAAUCAAACAUUUUAAAAAUCAGAAUAUCUUAUACAGACUAUAAAUAAACCAAUAAACCAAUACAAACUAACAACAACAAUAAACAGUUUACAGUUAUGUCCAGUGCUUUUUUUUCUGGGGGGACGCAUUCCCCCAAACAUUUUAUGAAUCUUUAUACUUUUGUCCAUUGUAUUUAUUUUUCCCUAUUUGAACUACAAAAUGGUGAAUUUCUUGAGUCAAAAUGAGAGUACCCCUAAACAUUUUUUAUAGAAAAAAAAAGCACUGGUUAUACCCAAAUUAAAAUAACCGCCAACCCCAACUAAACAUUUAACCAACCCCAACCCGACGAAAACAAAACAGAGGAACCGAAAUUAAAGCCUUUUAAAACAUUUUAAAACAUUUUAGCCAGUUGCCCCAGCCCAAGAGUUGUUCCAGCAAAGACCCAAUGGCCUCCCAGGAUCCUUUUUCAGCCGUUCUGGUGAGUGUGGGCCCCACCCCAUAGGGCAGGUAGAAAUGGGCCUUGCAACAGGGAGCAGGUCUUCCUUCCAUCACUCAUGGUGGCAGCAGCAGCAGCAGCGAGUCCCAUUGAACUGAAGGUGGUUUACUCCUAGGUAAGGGUGCACGCUGUGGGUUAAACCACAGAGCCUAGGGCUUGCCGAUUGGAAGGUCAGCGGUUUGAAUUCCCGCGAUGGGGUGAGCUCCCGUUGCUCGGUCCCUGCUUCUGCCAACCUAGCAGUUUGAAAGCACAUCAAGUGCAAGUAGAUAAAUAGGUACCGCUCCAGCGGGAAGGUAAACAGCGUUUGCGUGCGCUGCUCUGGUUCGCCAGAAGUGGCUUAGUCAUGCUGGCCACAUGACCUGGAAGCUGUACGCCGGCUCCCUCGGCCAAUAAAGUGAGAUGAGCACCGCAACCCCAGAGUCGGCCACGACUGGACCUAAUGGUCAGGGGUCCCUUUACUUUACCUUUAGCCUGCAGCUACAAUUCUGCAGCUGUGGGUAAGUCUGUGCAGAUCUCUUUGCAAGCUGCCUGUGUGUAUUUAUAGAGCCAGGGCUGCCAGCUGUUGCAUGCUAACAGUACAAACCACUAGUAUUUAUUGAUUCUCUCCUCUUUCAAAAUUCCCAGUGCACAUUAUCAUACAGAAUAAUGGCAUUUGCUUCUCCCUCUCGCUGGACUUUCAAUCAUUUCUUCUCCUUCUUUUUUAAAGUCUUCUGUUUGUUUAUGCAGCUCUACGCAAAAAUUGGACAAGCUAUUGGGAAAGCAGAGGUGUUUGUAUAUUUGAAGUUGUUGGGGGUUUUUUUUGUUUGUUUUAAAGCAGCACUCAACUCCAUAUAGCAUUUCCUUCUCCAGUAAGCAUAUUCUCUGAAGACCGUUUUCUUCACUUAAAACGUUUGUUCUGGUAUUCCGAGCUUCUCAAAUAGAGGAUAAAGACCUCUUACCCCCUAGAUGCAAAUAGAAAAGGGGGUCUAACCACAGCCAUUUAAAAUAAACGCAUCCUAGCAGUGACUUUCAGUGAUUCAUUUUGAGGGGGAAGGAGGGCUGGUAAUGUUUUUGUUCCAAGUAUAGUGGUACCUCGGGUUAAGUUCUUAAUUUGUUCCGGAGGUCCGUUAUUAACCUGAAACUGUUCUUAAAUUGAAGCACCACUUUAGCUAAUGGGGCCUCCUGCUGCUGCCAUGCCGCCAGAGCACGAUUUCUGUUCUCAUCCUGAAGCAAAGUUCUUAACCCAAGGUACUAUUUCUGGGUUAGUGGUGUCUGUAAUCUGAAGCAUAUGUAACCUGAAGCUUAUGUAACCUGAGGUACCACUGUACAGUAAGAACUUUGCUUCAGGAUGAGAACAGAAAUCAUGCAGCGGGGGCACAGCGGCCCCAUUAGCUAAAAUGGUGCUUCAGGUUAAGAACAGUUUCCGGUUAAGAACGGACCUCCAGAACAAAUUAAGUUCUUAACCCAAGGUACCACUGUAUAUGAUGGUGAGAGGAACAGUAAUAAUUCUUAGAAGGGGAGAUUUGCAAUCUGGUUUCAAAUCCCCAUUCAACAGGGAUGCCAUCUACAGGGGGCCAUGGGGCCCAGUCCCCUGAAUAUUUUGGGGGCCACCCCCCCCAAUUCCACAGCGAUUCUCAAAUGUAUGUGCCAGAACAAUUUCUUUUUAUUACUCUUGUAAUAAAAAUGGUUAUUUAGGGGAUUUGAAUUUAAUUCUAAAUUAUAUACCGGAAACGUGGGAGAUUACAAGGGGUCAAAAAAAAACGGAUGUAUCGCGCCAUACUAGAAGCAAAAAAACUUGUCUUGAUGAAUUGGAAGAGCUGCAAAAAGAUCCAAUUGAGCACAUGGAUUGACAAUAUUGACUAGUUACCUACGAACGAAUCGCAUAUAGAUGCAAAUUAAGAAUGGAUAAAUAUAAAGAAAUCUGGAAGGAAUACUUAAGCGAUAAGGCAGACAGUGGUGGGAAUUAGGGGGAGGAGAGGUGGGGAAAUAUUGUUAAAAAGGUGUAGUUAUAGGUAUAUCAGUACUCAAAUCUGAAUUGUUAAAUUGUGUUAUUUGUGUUGUUGUGGUUUUUGUUGUAUAUGGUUUUUGUUGUUGUUGUUUGUAUUGAAAAAGUGAUUAAAUAUAUAUAUAUAUAUUUAAAGUAUGUGCCAGAACGAUGUUGCUUGGCCUUGUCGUGCCAUUUUGAGGCUUGCCAAGGACGCUGCAGGACAGAGCAUUCCUUUGAUGAUUGUUAAAGUGCCUUCUUGGAAGACGUGCUGGCGAUCUCUGCCAGCAGGGGUGCCAACUUGAAUAAAAUAUAGUGAGCGCCCAGGUAAGCCCUGCCUCACAUAAUCAAUCACAUGACGUAGUGACCCCCCCACUUGAAUAGGAAUGCCGGGUUGGGCGGGGCAUUGUGUGUGUGAUGUCAUACAUGCGCUAUGCCCCCCCCCCCGCAAUGUUGGGCACAACUCGGCACCUAUGCCAUUCAACAAUACAAAUUUCUUAUAAGGAAAUACCGUAUUUUUCGCUCUAUAAGACGCACCAGACCACAAGACGCGCCUAGUUUUUGGAGGAGGAAAACAAGAAAAAAAAUAUUCUGAAUCUCAGAAGCCAGAACAGCAAGAGGGACCGCUGCGCAGUGAAAGCAGCAAUCCCUCUUGCUGUUCUGGCUUCUGGGAUAGCUGCGCAGCCUGCAUUUGCUCCAUAAGACGCACACACCUUUCCCCUUACUUUUUAGGAGGGAAAAAGUGAGUCUUAUGGAGCAAAAAAUACGGUAUGUUUUCUCAUUGUCCUCAGUGCCAGAUUUACAUAUAAGCUAAACAAACCAUAGCUUAGAGUCCCACUCUCUUGGGGGGCCCCCAAAAAAUUUUUAAAGGAAAAAAAGACUGGAUGUACAUUUCCAAAAUAUAAGAUAAAAAACAAAUAAAAUAAGACCUACAUACAGCAACAGUGUUUUGUGUUGUGUAGGCUUCUAUUUGUUAUGUGCAAAUGGCUUUAGAUACCUAUUAGGUCCAUAAAUUACUAUAUAGCAUAUAUUCAACACAAAAAACAGUGAUAAUUUGUUGUUGACAAAGGACAGCUGGACAUAUAAAGGGCCCCAUUACCUUCAGUAACUUAGGGCCUCUGGCCCUGAUAUUGAAAGUUUUUUGGCAGAAGGUAACUGAAACUUUCAACAGAACUGUAUCAACAACCUUACAUUUACAGAGCAAAAUAUCCUCUUGAAUUAUAUACCCAGCACAUGGAACGUUACAAAAGGACAAUGCAAGUGCCCUUACCACAGCAAAAAGACUGAUACUGAUGAAUUGGAAAAAUAAAAAUGUGGCUCCUUUCUAUGAUUGGAUUGAAGAUCGCAACAUAUAAACAACUUGCAUAUAAAUGCAGGCUUGCCAUGGACAAAUUCAACGAUACUUGGAAUCCAUUCUAACAAAUACUGUAAUAGGUUAAGAUCUGGUGAAGUACAGUAACAACUUUGUAAAAUAAUAAAAAUAAAAAUAAAAUAAGGACGUACAGUGGUACCUCGGGUUAAGUACUUAAUUCGUUCCGGAGGUCCGUUCUUAACCUGAAACUGUUCUUAACCUGAAGCACUAUUUCUGGGUUAGCGGAGUCUGUAACCUGAAGCGUAUGUAACCUGAAGUGUAUGUAACCCGAGGUACCACUGUAUGUGUAAAAGUGUAGCACAGUACUGUGCCCUCCAACACCUGCGUACCUCCACCCACAAAAGUUCUCAGAAAAUAUACAUUUUGUAUUUUUGCCACACACCCACUAAACUGUGUUGGAAAAGGGGAACUUGAUGGAGAAGGUUGGGCAGGUAUUUUAGUCUUCGCUUACAGGAGAGCUGCCCAAGAUGACAUUCGCAGGUGACUCUUGUCUUCGGACGUGUAUUGCCACCCAAGAGCUGUGUGAUGUAGGUGUGGUGAAGAACUGGUGGUCCUUCAGAGAGCCAGUGUGGUGUAGUGGUUAAGAGCGGUAGACUCGUAAUCUGGGGAACUGGGUUUGUGUCUCCGCUCCUCUACAUGCAGCUGCUGGGUGACCUUGGGCCAGUCACACUUCUCUGAAGUCUCUCAGCUCCACUCACCUCACCGAGUGUUUGUUGUGGGGGAGGAAGGGAAAGGAGGAUGUUAGCCGCUUUGAGACUCCUUCGGGUAGUGAUAAAGCGGGAUAUCAAAUCCAAACUACUACUCUUCUUCUUCUUCUUCUUCUUCUUCUUCUUCUUCUUCUUCUUCUUCUUCUUCUUCAGAUAUUGCUCUACUCCAGCUCCCUUCCUCCUUGACCUUUGGCCAUGCUGGUUGGGGCUGAUGGGAAGUGGAGCCCGACAACUUCCAGGUCAUGUGGCCAGCAUGACUAAGCCGCUUCUGGCGAACCAGAGCAGCGCACGGAAACGCCGUUUACCUUCCCGCCAGAAUGGUACCUAUUUAUCUACUUGCACUUUGACGUGCUUUCGAACUGCUAGGUGGGCAGGAGCAGGGACCGAGCAACGGGAGCUCACCCCGUUGCGGGGAUUCAAACCACCGACCUUCUGAUCGGCAAGUCCUAGGCUCUGUGGUUUAACCCACAGCGCCUCCCACGUCCCUAUUUGAAGUCUAGGACCUGUCACCAAAAUCACAUACAAUUCCACCCUGAGGAGGCUCGGUUCACUUAGCUUAUUCUCUUGUGUUUCCUGGGCCAGCUUUUGUGGACAUUUUGACCAAAUAUGCACUCAAAACAAAAUUCAGACAUUUGACUCUGUAUUGUGGCUUUCUUUGUGCGUAGCUCACUCUUUUAUGGUAAUCAAAUGUCCUGCCAACAUUUUCUGCAGCUAUGUACACCAGCAAAGGGAACCAGAUGCUUCUUGUUUUCCUUCGAAAUAUAUAUCAGUGUUGGUUUUGUUUAGUGUUUCAGAGGAUUGGCGAAAAGACAGCCUUUAAUAAGCCUAGGCUGCAUUGCCCUGUGUUUCCCAAUGUACUAAUAGUUUUGGCUGCAGCUCCUCAUCUUGAUUUAAAAUCUGUCCUCAUCUCUCAUACAAAUGAGCCUCUCAAAAAAUAAAAAACAGGCCGGUUUAAUUCAUCUCACGUGUUUAACUUAGUUUUCAUUCAGAAUAGAUGGUUCCAUUUUUAAACAGGAAGGGGAUGUGGAAAGUAACUAAGUUUCAGCUUUCUUUCUUUCUUUUCUUUUUUGCACACAUAAGCCAAUCAGAGAUGGAGAGAUGGAAAAUUAUUUGGCCCUCUUUAGGUUUAAUGUUUGCUCCAAACAGCAGAAGGCUUUGAAAGAAGCUGCAACAGUAUCUAAGGAGAUGCCAUGUUCUUCUGUCCUAGUUUGUGGUCAGAGAGCUUCCUUGUCAAUCAACUGUUGUGUGUAAAUCCUAUCUUGUCAUCACUAGCUGAAAGAUUCGGUGGGUUGUGUUUUUUUUUUAAUCCAUUGGAAAGGGUGUGUGUGCAGUGAUAUUUCCUGAGAUAUACAACACAUCCCUAGGGAAAACGACACCAUAUCCUGAUCUUUAUCCUAAAAGUAGUCUCCUGAAUCUGAAUCCCAUUUCAGUUAUUCCCAUUUUACAGAUGAAGAACCGAGGCUGAGAAGUGCAGCUUGCCCAAAAGCUAUCUACUGAAUCAACAGCUGAAAAUGAGUCGGUGGAUUCAAACUCAAAUCAAUACCAUGGUUAGCUUUUCCACCACAUUGGAACAAGCCAUUAAACAACAACAACAACAAUUUAUGCAUCCUUUUCACUAGUUAGAAAUUUGACAUAAGUUUGAGGGGAGUCUAAACACUUUGGGACCCUUGGGGUGCCAAUUCUACCUUUUUCUGGCUCUAUUAAAGGUAAAGGGACCCCUGACCAUUAGGUCCAGUUGUGGCCGACUAAGCCGCUUCUGGCGAACCAGAGCAGCGCACGGAAACGCCGUUUACCUUCCUGCCAGAGUGGUACCUAUUUAUCUACUUGCACUUUGACGUGCUUUCAAACUGCUAGGUUGGCAGGAGCAGGGACCGAGCAAUGGGAGCUCACCCCGUCGCAGGGAUUCGAACUGCCAACCUUCUGAUCAGCAAGUCCUAGGCUCUGUGGUUUAACCCUGGCUCUAUGACCAUGCCUUUAAAAGCCACAUGAUACCUGGAAGCAUAGCAGGUGAAGCUAUUCCCAUCGGAUCUUCAUGUCUGUAGAAACAUCACCUGCUGAAUGUCUGGUUAUUUGGUUAUCUGCUAAUGGCACGGGAGCAGGUCUAGUUUUUCAGCCUAGGAUUUGUGCAAGUUGCCUCACAGGGAACAACCUGGGGGAGAGAGAGAGAGACAGAGGAGAAGCUUUCUAUUUUCCUCCAAGAAAGCAGGCAUACACAACUGCAACUGAUCUGUUCCAGUUCAGUUACGAGUCAAAGAGCGGAAAGAUUUUAACUUCAAACGGAGCCAUUAGGGUCACCUCCUCCAUCUGAUCUCCAAACCGAUCUUUUCAGUUUCUUCUAAAUGAUUUCAGCAUUCCAUUCGGCCCACCCAAGACCCAAGAGAGCAUAAACAGUGGCUGCUCCCCUGGAAGAAGAGGGCAUCUUUGAAGGGCAAAGCCAUCUCUUUCGUAGACAUUCCAGGGCUCCCUCCUGCCCAACACCUUCAUCUUUCCUUUUCUGAAUAGUCAGCAGGGACAUCUCCCACAUCCUGACUUCUACGGGUCAUUGCUCAGCCUAACUCGAAUGUCCUGCAACGUUAUGAAGUGCUGGUGGAGCCUGUGGUUUGUGGUGUGGCCUCGCAUGCUCCUGCCCCAUUGCUGCAGCUCGUUGUGGGUGCCUUCUGCCUGCGAAGGACUGGCUGGAUGAGGAAGAGUAGUGGGUGCUGCCUGCCCAAGAGCCUGAAAUAAAAAAAUUAAGGUCAUAUAUAUACACCGUAUUUUUCGCUCUAUAAGACGCACCAGACCACAAGACGCACCUAGUUUUUGGAGGAGGAAAACAAGAAAAAAAAUAUUCUGAAUCUCAGAAGCCAGAACAGCAAGAGGGAUCGCUGCGCAGUGAAAGCAGCAAUCCCUCUUGCUGUUCUGGCUUCUGGGAUAGCUGCGCAGCCUGCAUUCGCUCCAUAAGACGCACACACAUUUCCCCUUACUUUUCAGGAGGGAAAAAGUGAGUCUUAUAGAGCAAAAAAUACGGUAUAUAAAAUAAAUGUUCAUAACUGCACAUAUAAACCACAUGUCUGAAACCCCACAGAAAAAGUCCUGAAGCCAUUUUGUCCCUCCCAAAUUGACCUCAAAUAUUUCUAUGCAAGGUCGAAGGAAAAUGGAAAAGCCUCCCCAUUGUCUUCUUGUUCACAAAUCCUGUCUUAAGGGCAUGUCUGUGUAUGAAUAGGGUGAGCCUGUGACUUGGCUCAGGAACUAAGUAUUUGUCAUUACAAAAGACUGGCCAGGCUUCCCAGGUAAUCCAAUCAAGUGACCAUUAACAGGUAACCUGCCAGACAGGAGAGAAACAAAGCACUCAGAUUUCUGUUGUAGACCGCCCUUUCUAUGAUGUAGGUAUGAUGUAUCUGGGGGGUGGUCUUGAGCUACACCCUUUCUGUGAUGUAUGUAUGAUGUUUCUAGGGAUGGUCUUGGACUCCAGGGCAGGCAAUUUAAAAUGUCUAUAUAAGGGCAGACACACCUUGGUUCUGGGUCCUCCUCCUUUCCUGCAUGUGAGGGGAGCACCCUGUUGCAACAGUUCAAUAAAGAUCAGGCUUACUAGCUGCUUUGCUUCUCAAUAUUCUCUGGUUGGCCUCUGUUAUUUUCUCUGACCGAUGGAGAACCUACAAAGGACCCUAUAAGGACUCUUGUGUCCCCCAUAAGGGAAUAAGGGCAGAUUUUUGUUUAUUACAAGCCCCCCAGGAAUGACUUUAACUUUUCACAGUCAGAAUUUGGGGGGAGGGGAGUGCAGCUUAUAUUUGGGCCAAUAUGGUAAUUACUAUUUCCCUCGCAUAUUUCGCUUUUCAUUUUAGAUGAUGAAAUAGAACUGGUUGUGCUCUUUAAAAAAAAAAGGAACAAAAAUAAUAGAGAAAAUAAGUUAUGAAAGUUUUCCCUGGGGGAACAGAAUAUUCAUCACUAAUCCCCCAAGCAAUGAUAAUUGGGAAGCAAGAAAGCAAGCAGGAUGUUAAUUUAACAUUGAGUAGCCAACAACAACAGUAAAUGGCAACUGGAAGUAAAGAUUAUAGCAGGACCUUGCCCACAAGGAGAAGUUCUGCUGGAUAUUAUAGCUCCAUAUUACCGUAUUUUUCGCUCUAUAAGAUGCACCAGACCACAAGACGCACCUAGUUUUUGGAGGAGGAAAACAAGAAAAAAAAUAUUCUGAAUCUCAGAAGCCAGAACAGCAAGAGGGAUCGCUGCGCAGCGAAAGCAGCAAUCAAUCCCUCCGGCUGUUCUGGCUUCUGGGAUAGCUGCGCAGCCUGCAUUCGCACCAUAAGACGCACACACAUUUCCCCUUACUUUUUAGGAGGGAAAAAGUGAGUCUUAUAGAGCAAAAAAUACGGUAAGUGCUGUAUGGAAUCUCUGCUUUAAUUUCCCUUUCUGCUUUAAUUCUGCUUUAUGAAAAAGCAAGGCCUCAGCUUUCCCCAAGGGCUGCAGCGUGGAAGGAGCCUUAGAAAUCCUGAGGCACCAUCUUGACGAUUCAGCAAUUAAAACCAAGCCAAGGCAGCCCGAGACAUUUUGACGUGUGGGUUGGAAAAUUCAAAUGCUUUGGUCUUUAGAAAUAUACAACUAUAAACUAAGCAGUGGCCCAUUCGCUCCCCUUCCCUUGUUCUGCAGAAUCCGCUGCUUUACUGUAUCUAAUUGGAGGAUCACCUCUGAAACCUGGAGAUCUUGAAGAUAGCUUUUGCAAACAAGUGAGGGCCGAGGACAGAUUUAGCACUUCAAAGAGCAAGUGCCAUUAAAAAGGGAAAUAAUUCACAGAUUUGUCACAGAAGCCUAACCAUAAUUGGCUUGAUUUAAGGGUCCUCACUAUGAGAACAUUUCCAAAACUUUAUUCUUAAAUACCAAGGCAACUGGGCCAUUUUUCUUCCUUCCAUCUGCACUUUAUUUAUAAUGGCUUCCCACAAGCCCUUCUUUUCUUCCCUCCAUUUUUUUUCAACUAGCCUUUUUUUUCCCUAGAGAGGGUUCGACUUUGCGUUCAUUUUCUGUUUGAGAUUUAUAAACAUUGUCAAGAAUUCCAGUUGCUGAUCUUCUCGGUGACACUUUCCGCAAACCAGAUUCAUUGCUGUUCUUAAGGAUCCCUUAAUAUUUUAAUGCUCAAAAUGAUAAAUUUCUGGUUUCCAUAAGCUUCGUCCCUCCACAGACCUUUGAGGGGCUGAAGUAGGCCCCUUCACUUCUUGUGCUGUGAUUUGUGGCUAUUUUCAUAAAUUACUAUGGAUUUUGAAAUAUACUCUGAGUCGAGAGUGGAUUUCAUGCUCUUUAUUCAGCUCAUAGUGGUGAGGAGGGAAUGAAAGUCUCCCCACAGUAUCUGCUUUAUAUACAUUAUUGACACAAUGGGCUGCAUGUGAUUGGCUAAUUCCGGAAUUCUCCUGUAGGCCAAUCAGGUUGUGGAUUCACGUCCACCUGGAGCUGGAUUGGGUGGUUCCUGCAGACCAAUCAUACUGCUGCAUUGUUCUAGGACCAAUCAGACUGCUGCAAUUUUGGAUCCUAUUCAACACAGUACAUUGCAGAUUUGUUCGGUGUAUAGUUGGCCAAAAGAGGGAAAGGCGAGUUGUUGUUGUUUUGUUGUUUUUUUUAAAAAAUACUCUCUCAUGAUCCAUGAUCCACGAAGAAAUAAAGAAAAUAUUAAGAAUAUCAUAUAGUAAAAGGCCAGAGGCAUUCCUUUUAGGAAUUUUAAAUGACGAUAUUCCAAAAUACAAAACUAAAUUUUUCUUAUACGCAACGUCUGCAGCAAGAAUCCUGGUGGCUAAAUAUUGGAAAGGGAAUGAGUUACCCACUAGGGGAGAGUGGUUAUGUAAGCUUUCAGAAUACUUAGAAUUAGCCAGAUUGACAGACAUAGUAAGACAACAACCAAAAAGUGAAGUAGAAAAAGAAUGGGGGUGCCUAAAUGAAUACCUCAAAAGUCAAGGUUCGAGGACAGAAAUCUGGCUGAGCCUGGAAUAACCUUGUGAAGUGAAAGGAUAUGAAAGAGGGAUUUACAUCUAGAUGUUAGGAUAGAGAUGAUAAUGAAAACAGGAAAACAGGAAGACACAAUGAGAGAUAAAGGAGGUGCUGUGGGAUUGGUGGAAGUCAAUGUCUUGUUGUUGUUUUAGUGUUUAUAAUAUUAACUUGUAAGAUAUGGAUUUAUUUAUUUUUGUUUGUUGCUUUUUUAGUUUUCGAAUGUCGAUUUUUGUGUGUUGUGUACUGUUAUUUUUCGAUAUCUUUCGUGUUGUUGUUGUUGUGCGGAAAAUACUAAUAAAAUUAAAUUAUUUUUUUUAAAAAAUACUCUCUCACACACUCAUACACCAAGUGCUACAAAUUAAUUUUGUUUCCUAUAUGCACAGACAACUCCUCAUAACUUGACAAGGAAUGACAUUGCCCCCUCCUUCCAAGCUAUGAUUUGCUGAAGCCUUGUUGCGCUUAAAUUUUUUUUUAUCACAAAGAGGGCUUGGAAAAUCUGGCUUUACAGCUGCCUAACUUCAUUUUUUAAUAAAUGCAUCCCAAGCUUACGGUUUCCCCCUCUGAUGUCAGCUAAGGGAUAUGUAAAGAAACACACACUCUCUGUCUCCUCUCCUCUGUCUGAAAUGUAUGUGGCCUUUUACUAAAGUUGCCCUUGUUUCUAUCUAGGGUAAGAGAUGCUUUGGCUUUUAGAAACUUUUUUCACGCUGUGAGUUAAUAAAGCUUCUCCAUCGAAGAGGCCUGGGAAGGAAAUGAUGGUCAGGAUUUUGUGCUACAAUGGUGGAUUAUUGCUGAGCUAUAAAGAACUCUUCAGCCCAACCUUUCGUGUCUUUCUAAAAUAUGGCUUUGAAGUUUGCUUGGCUGUCACUGCCCUUGAAGGAAACGAAAGGGUAUCGUCACCUCAGCUUCCUUAUUCAGCACUGCCUGGGCAUUGCAUGUGAGAUAAAUAUGCUUCAUAGGCCUAUCUUUUGCAGAGCAACCCGGAACGUCCUGUGAUAUGACCUACGGUUUGUGCUGAGGCCAACAUCUGCAUACAAAAUGUUGUCAGGGUGGCACAGUCUUCGAUUUGCAAGGUGUGUGUGGAUUUCCUCUAGGGACUAGUCUAGAUAGAUGAUAGCUCAGUUUGUAGAGCAUGAGACUCUUAACCUCAGGAUUGUGGGUUCGAGCCCCAUGCUGGGCAAAAGAUUCCUGCAUUGCGGGAGGUUGUUGUUGUUGGAGGUUAUAAUAAUAAUAAUAAUAUAUGCAUUGCAGGAGCUUGUCAUCAUCAUCAUCAUUAUUAUUAUGGAGGUUAUAAUAAUAAUAAUAAAAAAAAUAAAAUAUGCAUUGCAGGUCCUGCCAACCUAGCAGUUAGCAAGCACAUCAAGUGCAGGUAGAUAAAUAGGUACCACUCUGGCAGGAAGGUAAAUGGCGUUUCCGUGCGCUGCUCUGGUUCGCCAGAAGCGGCUUAGUCAUGCUGGCCACAUGACCCAGAAGCUGUACGCCGGCUCUAACAUUUCUCAAAUGAAAAUAGGGACGUCCUACGGAAAAGUGGGACGUUCUGGGAUCAAAUCAGAAACCAGGGCGGCUUCUCACCCCAACUCACCCCAACUUCGGCUUAGACUCACUCUGACCCCUUAUAUGGGAUUUGGUAUAUAAAUUUUCCCUUGGCUUUUUUGCUGGCCCAUGUAGGACCAGCAUGAAUAGCUGGCUCAGGAGAAUAUCUGAUGUUUCCUCCCUUUAUGGUCUUGAUUUAUGGGCUACUCCUGCCAACCUAGCAGUUCGAAAGCACGUCUAAGUGCAAGUAGAUAAAUAGGUACCGCUCCAGUGGGAAGGUAAAUGGCGUUUCCGUGCGCUUCUCUGGUUCGCCAGAAGCAGCUUAGUCAUGCUGGCCACAUGACCCGGAAGCUGUAUGCCGGCUCCCUUGGCCAAUAAAGCGAGAUGAGCGCCGCAACCCCAGAGUCGGUCACGACUGGACCUAAUGGACAGGGGUCCCUUUACCUUUUUAUGCACUGAAGGAAGUUGUUGUUGUUGUUGUUAUUGUUAUUAUUAUUAUUAUAAUUUAUAAGGUUGGACUAGAUGACCCUUGUGGUCCUUUCCAACUCUACAGGUCUAAGAAUGAAACAAUAAUCCACUGAGGAGCAGUGAUGGACUUGUAGAAUUUGUCUAACCAAAGCGGCUGUGGCUCCCCUAUUUAUUUCAACUGUUGUAACAGAUCUGUGUGUCCACCCUAUUGCUGCUCGGAGUUCUUUUCUUCUCUUUGAAAUGAAUGAGGUAAAAGCACAGAGUGGUAAGGGGCCUUGCAGUCCCAGGUCCUUAUCAGUGUGCAAUUCCACAGUUACGGCGUCUCCAAUCGACGGCUGCUCAGUUACUGCUUGGAGACCUCCAGCAAACGACAGCGCAUCACUCCUCUAGAAAAUGGGUUCCGUCGUCAAGAUGUUUUCCCCAGUGUUCACCCAAAAUCUACCAUCCUGUAACUUAAAUCCACCCAGUCUGGGGCAGCAGAAAACCAGUAUUUUCCCUCUUCUAUGUGCCAGCUUUGCCACAUGGGGUGUGAGGCCCAGCCCAAGGCAUUUUGUUUUCUGUACCACAAUAGGAAAUGGCACCACCCAUGUCAAGUCGAGGUGCAUAGUCCCCAAAGCUGUCCAAACUAUUUUGGCUGCUGAGACAGAAAAUCCCACAAGAGCUUCUUCCCAGCGUGAACACGCCCUGUUCCCCCCGCCUUCCCUCAUAAGGCACGUUUAUUUCAGACUUCAGACCAUCUUUGUUGUUCUUUCCCAGACUCAUUUCAAUUUGCGUGUGUUCCUGCUCAAAUGUGCCACCCGG